GUAGGUAUAGUUUAACCAAAAUGCUAGAUUGUGAUUCUAAAGACAGAGGUUAAAAUCCUCUUACUCACC
RNAcentral lists this transfer RNA (69 nucleotides) under Diptychus maculatus (scaly osman). RNAcentral describes it as "tRNA-His". It matches the Rfam family "tRNA". Rfam says of the family: Transfer RNA (tRNA) molecules are approximately 80 nucleotides in length. Lineage: Eukaryota; Metazoa; Chordata; Actinopteri; Cypriniformes; Cyprinidae. The record is from RNAcentral.